Molecule: ribosomal RNA, 392 nt
Filed under: uncultured bacterium
Lineage: Bacteria
Description: bacterial SSU rRNA
Rfam family: Bacterial small subunit ribosomal RNA
Source: RNAcentral
GACGAACGCUGGCGGCGUGCUUAACACAUGCAAGUCGAGCGGGUAAGGCCCUUUCGGGGGUACGACGAGCGGCGAACGGGUGAGUAACACGUGGGUGACCUGCCCUCAGCUCUGGGAUAAGCCUGGGAAACUGGGUCUAAUACUGGAUAUGACUCCACGGUGCAUGUCGUGGGGUGGAAAGCCUUGUGCGGCUGAGGAUGGGCCCGCGGCCUAUCAGCUUGUUGGUGGGGUGAGGCCUACCAAGGCGACGACGGGUAGCCGGCCUGAGAGGGCGACCGGCCACACUGGGACUGAGACACGGCCCAGACUCCUACGGGAGGCAGCAGUGGGGAAUCUUGCGCAAUGGGCGAAAGCCUGACGCAGCGACGCCGCGUGAGGGAUGACGGCCUGGU